Enhydra lutris kenyoni (northern sea otter) is the source of this 983-nucleotide RNA transcript. It is a transcript of the gene named olfactory receptor-like protein OLF4, with no coding region annotated. The record is from RefSeq and is a predicted model, not a curated record. The transcript has a single exon. Lineage: Eukaryota; Metazoa; Chordata; Mammalia; Carnivora; Mustelidae.
AUGGAUCCAGGAAACUACACAGGAAUUUCAGAGUUUCUUCUUUUGGGAUUAUCCGAGGAACCAGAACUGCAGCCCCUCAUUUGGGGCUUUUCCUCUUUAUGUACCUGAUCACUGUGUUUGGAAACCUGCUCAUCAUUCUGACUGUCAACUCUGACUCCCACCUCCACACACCCAUGUACUUCUUCCUCUCCAACCUGUCCUUCUCUGACAUCUGUUUCACCUCCACCACCAUCCCCAAGAUGCUGUGGAACAUCCAGACUCAGAGCAAAGUGAUCACUUAUGAAGGCUGCCUCAGCCAGAUGUACUUUUUCACUCUCUUUGUAGGAUUAGACAACUUUCUCUUGACUGUGAUGGCUUAUGACCGCUUUGUGGCCAUCUGUCAUCCACUAAACUACAUGAUCAUCAUGAACUCCUGGCUCUGUGGACUGCUGGUUCUGGUGUCCUGGUUCCUGAGUGUCUUGCAUUCCACAUUACAAACCUCAAUGGUGUUGCAGCUGUCCUUCUGUAGAGUCUUAAAAAUCCCCCACUUUUUCUGUGAACUCAAACAGAUGAUACAACUUGCUUGUUCUGACACCUUUCUCAAUAACAUGGUGAUGUAUUUUGCAGUUAUGUUGCUGGCUGUUGUUCCCUUUGCAGGGAUCAUUUACUCUUACUGUAAGAUAAUUUCCUCCAUAUAUGGGAUCUCAUCAGCUCAGGGCAAGUAUAAAGCAUUUUCCACCUGUGCAUCUCACCUCUCAGUUGUCUCUUUAUUUUAUUGUACAAGUCUAGGAGUAUACCUUAGCUCUGCUGCUAACCAGGGAUCCCACUCAAGUGUAGUAGCUUCAGUCAUGUACACUGUGGCCAUGCCCAUGCUGAACCCCUUCAUCUACAGCCUCAGGAACAAAGACAUAAAGGAGGCUUUGAUGCAAUUCUCUGGAAGGGCAGGUCUAAAAGGACCAAUUGUCCUGGGUAUGAAAAAUUGUGCAGAAUCACCAAGCACAUAG